RNAcentral lists this ribosomal RNA (253 nucleotides) under uncultured bacterium. Its description in RNAcentral is "partial 16S ribosomal RNA". It matches the Rfam family "Bacterial small subunit ribosomal RNA", at positions 524 to 776 of the family's 1533-position model. The record is from RNAcentral.
UACAGAGGGUGCAAGCGUUAAUCGGAAUUACUGGGCGUAAAGGGCGCGUAGGCGGCCUUCUAAGUCAGACGUGAAAUCCCCAGGCUUAACUUGGGAACUGCGUCUGAUACUGGGAGGCUUGAGUGCGGGAGAGGGAUGUGGAAUUCCAGGUGUAGCGGUGAAAUGCGUAGAUAUCUGGAGGAACACCGGUGGCGAAGGCGGCAUCCUGGACCGACACUGACGCUGAGGCGCGAAAGCUAGGGGAGCAAACGGG